AAUGGGGGAUAGCUCGUCGAAGGCCGGAUUAAUACCGCAUACGUCCUGAGGGGGAAAGUGGGGACUGUCAGGCCUCACGUUAUACGAGCAGCUGAUGUCUGAUUAGCUAGUUGGUGAGGUAAGAGCUCACCAAGGCGACGAUCAGUAGCGGGUCUGAGAGGAUGAUCCGCCACACUGGGACUGAGACACGGCCCAGACUCCUACGGGAGGCAGCAGUGGGGAAUUUUGGACAAUGUGCGCAAGCCUGAUCCAGCCAUGCCGCGUGUCUGAAGAAGGCCUUCGGGUUGUAAAGGACUUUUGUUCGGGAGGAAAUCCCGCUGGUUAAUACCUGGCGGGGAUGACAGUACCGGAAGAAUAAGCACCGGCUAACUACGUGCCAGCAGCCGCGGUAAUACGUAGGGUGCAAGCGUUAAUCGGAAUUACUGGGCGUAAAGCGUGCGCAGGCGGUUUUGCAAGUCUGAUGUGAAAGCCCCGGGCUCAACCUGGGAACGGCAUUGGAGACUGCAAGACUAGAGUGCGUCAGAGGGGGGUAGAAUUCCGCGUGUAGCAGUGAAAUGCGUAGAGAUGCGGAGGAAUACCGAUGGCGAAGGCAGCCCCCUGGGAUGACACUGACGCUCAUGCACGAAAGCGUGGGGAGCAAACAGGAUUAGAUACCACUGGUAGUCCACGCCCUAAACGAUGUCAAUUAGCUGUUGGGGGUUUGAAUCCUUGGUAGUCGUCAGCAUAGACGUCGUGAAAUUGUACCGCCUGCGGAGUAGCGUCUAUAUA
Molecule: ribosomal RNA, 768 nt
Filed under: Chromobacterium sp. N1SM15
Lineage: Bacteria; Pseudomonadati; Pseudomonadota; Betaproteobacteria; Neisseriales; Chromobacteriaceae
Description: bacterial SSU rRNA
Rfam family: Bacterial small subunit ribosomal RNA
Source: RNAcentral